This 253-nucleotide ribosomal RNA is filed under the name uncultured bacterium. RNAcentral's name for it is "partial 16S ribosomal RNA". It matches the Rfam family "Bacterial small subunit ribosomal RNA", at positions 524 to 776 of the family's 1533-position model. The record is from RNAcentral.
UACGGAGGGGGCGAGCGUUGUUCGGAAUUACUGGGCGUAAAGGGCGUGCAGGCGGUCUUUCAAGUCAGAUGUGAAAGCCCGGGGCUCAACCCCGGAACAGCAUUUGAGACUGGAAGGCUGGGGUUCGGGAGAGAUGAGCGGAAUUCCGGGUGUAGAGGUGAAAUUCGUAGAUAUCCGGAAGAACACCGAUGGCGAAGGCAGCUCACUGGACCGAUACCGACGCUGAGGCGCGAAAGCGUGGGGAGCAAACAGG